UACGGGGGGAGCAAGCGUUGUUCGGAUUUACUGGGCGUAAAGGGCGCGUAGGCGGUCGUGACAAGUCACUUGUGAAAUCUCCGGGCUUAACUCGGAACGGUCAAGUGAUACUGUCGGACUAGAGUACAGAAGGGGCAACUGGAAUUCUCGGUGUAGCGGUGAAAUGCGUAGAUAUCGGGAGGAACACCAGUGGCGAAGGCGGGUUGCUGGGCUGAUACUGACGCUGAGGCGCGAAAGCCAGGGGAGCGAACGGG
Molecule: ribosomal RNA, 254 nt
Filed under: uncultured bacterium
Lineage: Bacteria
Description: partial 16S ribosomal RNA
Rfam family: Bacterial small subunit ribosomal RNA
Source: RNAcentral